CGAGGUGUAGCGCAGUUUGGUAGCGCACAUGGUUUGGGACCAUGGAGCCGGAGGUUCGAAUCCUCUCACCUCGACCA
RNAcentral lists this transfer RNA (77 nucleotides) under Pseudoramibacter sp. RNAcentral's name for it is "tRNA-Pro". It matches the Rfam family "tRNA". From Rfam's summary of the family: Transfer RNA (tRNA) molecules are approximately 80 nucleotides in length. Their secondary structure includes four short double-helical elements and three loops (D, anti-codon, and T loops). RNAcentral also lists the same sequence under 3 other names. The record is from RNAcentral. Lineage: Bacteria; Bacillati; Bacillota; Clostridia; Eubacteriales; Eubacteriaceae.